CAGGGGCAAAAUGAUAAUUUUAAAACUUUUUCAAAAUUACUAUUUUACAGUAGAAUUAUUAAUUAAUCUCAUUAAUUAAUACUAAUUAACCCUACACUAGGAUCUAAAUAUGAUACAACAGCAUGCAUUUAAAUUUGAAAUUCAAAUUUGAAUCAGUAAACCUUUUACAGUACUGUGUUCAGAACACAUCACCUUUUGCGGGUAGUCGAUCACCGCAAUCUGAUCACCGUCGGAGGGCUCUGAUCAUCACGUCGUAGCCACACAAAUGU
This 269-nucleotide long non-coding RNA is filed under the name Elaeis guineensis (African oil palm). RNAcentral describes it as "long non-coding RNA (EGUI_LNC052057)". The record is from RNAcentral. Lineage: Eukaryota; Viridiplantae; Streptophyta; Magnoliopsida; Arecales; Arecaceae.